Molecule: long non-coding RNA, 2789 nt
Organism: Myiozetetes cayanensis
Lineage: Eukaryota; Metazoa; Chordata; Aves; Passeriformes; Tyrannidae
Exons: 2
Source: RefSeq, a predicted model, not a curated record
GGGAAAGGCUGAGCCCCGGCGCUUCCUCUCAACUCGCGAAAAAAGCCUCGCCCAGGCAAAGUUGUUUGACCAUAAAAGGCGCGAGGCUGCGCGCACAGCUGAGCUCACUCGCUGGGGAAUGUGGCAAUGAGCUUACAUUGAUGAGAAACCUACAGUAUGCUGCAUCCUGCUUUGCUGUCUUACCAGAUUAUACCAGAGUCCUGGAGUUUCCAUGUGUUUGCUUUUGACUCAAAAAUUGUUAUUCUUGAAAUCCCUGCACCUCCAAGCAAGGAAUGGAAUUUCAAGUUACAUGGUGCCUGAAGAAUUCCACUCUCCUAAACAUAGCAAUUAUUUAUUUGACUUGAGGGACCACGAGACCAGAACUCUCCUCAUCUACAAUAACUUCAACUCUUUCUCCCAGCAGACAGUAAACUGAGAAAGAAAUAGUAAAUAUGAAGGUAUGAUAAAUGUUCUCUCACCUAUUGCAGAUUAAAAACAAUUUUGGGGAGGUAGAACAAAAGAGCAGCCUUCUGUGAGAGGAGAUAAAAGCUAACAGCCUUUGCCUUCGCCCAGUAUUGAUACAUAGUAUCUCCACAGACUGGGUGGUGCAACAACAAGUAGUAUUAUUCCAAGAGUUACCUCGUGAAUUGCACUGGUGGAUUUCUUUCAAGGAUCAGCUAUGGCCCCAAUGGGUUUGAGGUUAGAAUGCUCUUCUUUGCUGGGCUGCCUCUUAGUCAGAAGGUACCAUCAGGAUGUCAAGUGUUGCAAGACAGUAAGAAGAAAAGGCAGCAAGACAGACUCUUCUGAGAUCCUGUUCCUCAAAUUUCAGUCGAGAACACAGAAAGAAACAAGGUCCAAAUGUUCUUAUUAAGGUGGUUGUCAGCAGGGAAAGACAUUAGACCUCAGAAGACUUUGAAACAGAUGGGAAUGGAAAGGUCACCUCCAAAUAAGCACAGAGGGAAACAUUUUGGAACCCACCAUAUUCCUUAUGGACUGCAGCACAGUAGAGCAGAGCAGGUAGAUGUAUUCACAUCUUCCAGAAACAGCAGCAAGCCUGACUUGAUUCCAAAAAUAGUUUGAGUCAAUGUUGAUUUGCCAGAGCCUACUCACAACAGCUGUGUUCUCUGUGUUACAGAGCAAUUUCUGGAGAUUUUUUAAAAUGUGAGGGCCAUUCUGUCAGUGCAUGAGUGAACAGUUUAAGUUGAUAUUUUGCUUCAGGAUACAUUAUACUGUCACUAUUCCAGACUUAAGAAUUCAGCAACGAGGACAGAAUGACUAGCUUUUAAAAUAAGAAGUACUUUCUUUGUUCAGACUUGCUUUUAAGGUUUAGGGUAUUUUUGUAUCUUUUUAUUAAGAUCUGUAAAACUCCAGAAGCACAUUGCAGGAAAAAAACCAAAUAAACAAUGUAUUUUUAAAACUGUGAGUAUCCACAGUUUCUCUGAGCUUCUAGUCCCCCAUCUCCAAUAUAUCAAAGGGAGAGAGUGAGGAGACGACAACUGAUAUUUUGUAAGGCUAAAAAUAUUGUGUCUUUUUACAUAACACUGAGAAUUUAAAAAGCACAUUAACUGCUUGCAGAUUAUUUUUAAAAAUGCAGCUUGAGCAACACCACUAGUAUAGAUUCAACUGACAUUUAGCAGAAGUAGCUGCUGUAUAUUUCACUGUUGGGAAAUGAGACAUUCAGUAGAGAAUUAAGUAAAUGUUUUUAAAAAGCCAAAAUAAGACUCAGACUCCAUCAAAGAUACCUGCACACUAACAUACACCUCACAUUUAUGUCAUGGGUGAUGUCUGUUUCUCUAAUGCAUAUCAAGUAGCCUUUUUGACCCUCCCUUUUUGACACCUCCUCAGACCUUCCCUCUUGGCACUACCUACCUCAUGGUGAGGAACCUUGACACUCUCAGUGUGACUGCCAGAGGUUCAACAAAUUCCUUUUUUUUACACUCCUGGAAUUUCCUUUCUUUUUUCCUCCUCAUUUGUUAGCAUCUGCUGAGCCCUUCCUGGCAGGGAGGGAGUGGGAAGGAGUGCCUUAUCUGAAGUUACUUAUCUUCCCAUUUCACUUGCUGCUGGAAAAGCCCCAGGCCAUGGCAGAAGAAACUGGAAUUUGAGAGCAUGGCCCAGAAUACCUUCAGUCUCAUUCUGUGUGUAGCAGGCAUUUAACCGGUUUAGACACAAGGUAAGGACAUAUGAGGAUGCAGAAUAGAUUUAUGAAAGACAUUUGCCAGAAUGGUGUUGCUGAGUGGGUGAAGUUUGUGACAGAUGAAGCAGACUUGUUAAUUCUUUGAUACUGAGCUGCAGUUCCAGAGAGCAAUGGUUCUCCAUGCUCAAAUGGAAGAUGAUGCAUGAUCACAUGCAGUAGGUCAGUGUGCUAUAAAGGCAUCAGAGAAAUGCUAACAGAGCAAGCUGCACCACCACAGUUCCAGAUGGCAAAUUCCUUUUCUAUGUCUUCUUUAAAGUUCUGAAAUGGGAACUGUAUGAAAAUGAGAUCUUAAUAUACAUAGAACAGAGCGUGACACUUCUGCAUGACUCUGGAUAAAAAUCAAAACAUGGAUGAAGAUGAUGAGAGAAUAUUACACUUGCUAAAAACCUGCAAAACAGCAAUGUUCGGAAAAACUCUGAAGCUACAAAUUCCUAAGAAAAACUAAUGGAAGGCAAGUAUCAAGAUAAGUGAGAAAAGAAUGGCAAACACUGAGUAUUGAACAUUUAUUUGUGUAUCAAUAUGUCAAACCCAUGUGUUAUACAGAGAGCUGAUCACAUUUUAUUAAAACACCACCAAAUUAAGCAAGGUCACAUAACAGUUAUCUUGUAGCAAAGCA